UAUCGUUUUAUGUAGUCGCUCUUUGUCGCGACUAUCGUUUGUCGUGGCUAUGGUUGUUUUGCCGUUCGUUUCGUGUUAUGUAAUAGGCCCCUAGGUGAUGAUACUCAUUAUGUAGAAAUGUCCUAUAUGAUCACCAUUUUUCAACCGUUACGGCUGUCGACCGGUAACAAUAGCCAGAUCAAUAUUAGCUUCGAUAUAAUGCAUCAUCAUCAGUAUGUUCCCUCAGAAUCUCCUCACACCUAUUUUCACAAUCGAUAUUGGAAUUGGCUUCGGCUUUGGUCUAAUCUAUCUACGAGCCAUUGUCAGUGUUACGAUGUAUUUUGAGAAAUAAUAUCGAUCUCUGGCAACCGGUAUUGCUGUGUGCAGUUCUGGAUUCGUCUUCUAUGCUCAAAAUAUGCGGAAUAGUCCUUAAUUGCAUAAUUUUCGCUGCAAUGUUUCGACCAAUCGAACCACCUAAAAUUGAUUGAAGGAGAAAGUGCUGAAAUGGCUGAACUUGCACCGCUUAAUUCAAGAAAAUCGGAUCAGUUCCUACAAAUACCCCGAAGUGAUACGAAUCUUUCACGACGGUAUAGUGGUGGUCAUGAUUUUGGUUACGAAUUCCAUACAACAAAUCAAAAUGGUAAAUUAUCCAUUCCGACGAUCAGUAGCAAUAAUAACAUCCGUUCUGCAACUAGCCAACCACACCUUAAUGAUGAGGGCCAACAGGAACCGGUUCAAGGGUCCCAAAAGAAAUUUGGCAAAGGGAUGAUGUAUCGAAAAGAUAUCCUUUAUCAGGGUUCCCUACGUGAAUUGAUAUGGCUCGUUGAAACACAGCAUACACAAAGUAGACUCAACUCAGGUAAGAUAAAGAAAUUUUGAUGAAAAAAUAUGUAAUCUGUAAUAUAAAUCUUCUGAAUAUUUGCUUAGCUUAUAACCUACUAAUCGUGUUUAGUUUUUUUUUCAAAACUGUUUAACGUAUGAUAAAAAAAAAUCUGGCAUCAGUUGGAUCCGGCUAGAGGUUGUUGACAUUUUAGCACCUGAGAAUUGAAUGUUCAAUGUUUACAUAGACAACACGUUUCCUCGUAUCUUAUUAGGGAAAUAAGAUUUUUCACUAGCAGUGUUUACAAAAUUUAUAGGAUUUGUAAAAGUCGUAAAUUAUUUUAAAAAACAGCUCUAAAGAUUUUGAAAAUAUAUUUUUAUAAAUUUCUUAUUUUUUUUUUUGCUUGAAUUUUAUUUUUUUUCAUAUAAAAUUUAAAUAGGUAUAAAAAUUUCUAUAUAAAAACUCUUACGAAUUUUAGACACUUGAACCCUAAGAGCAAGUGCGUUUUAUUUAUUGCAUGUUUCUUUUUCGCAGUGAAUUUCUUCAUUUUCAUCAUAUAAGUCAUCAUGCGAUAGACAUAUAUUGUGCAUAAUACAUGCACUCAUUAUUAUUUUUGUAACCACUUAAAUCCGUUUGUUCUGUGAACUUUAAAAGUCUUCGGAAUCGUCCUUUAAUUAAUCCAAAUGUGUUUUCUACGACAAUCCUCGUUGACGAAUGGCUAUAGUUGAAUCGCCUUUGAGCAUCGGUAAGAUUUCCAGUAUCUUUAAAUGGUGGUACUAGCCAACUUUUUGAAGGGUACGCCGAAUCACCCAAAAAAAAGUAACUGUUAGGAAACAGUUCAAUAUAAUCUGUUUCUGCCCUUGAGUACAAUUCAGAUCUCCGUAAAACCCUGCUGUCGUGAAGGGAACCUGGUUCACCAACAGUUAUGUCGAUGAACUUUUUCUCAGCAUCCACAACUGCUUGAAUAACUAGGCUAUAGUUUUGCUUUCUAUCAAAAUAGCAAUGCUUAUUGUAAGUAGGUGCUUUUAUUGCAAUAUGGGUGCAGUCAAUCGCACCAAUUAUAUCUGGUAUCUAUUUUUUGCUUUCAAAUUUCCGCUCUACUUCGUCUGAAAAAGAACCUUGUGGCCACUGGACGUACUCGCUUCCAAUCGAAAUUACAAAGCCAGCAACGCGGUUUACAGACAGCCAUGUUGAUAACUUUGCAAUGCCGAACUGAUUUCCAAGUUGCCGAAAUGUGUCCGUGUUGCAAACAUACCAGAUAUAGACAUAAAUUGCUUUCUUAUUGCCAAUUCUAGGUCUUCCACCUCCAAUUUCAUCUACCGAAUAGCUUGAUUGCGAAAAUCUCGCUGCAAAAUAUAUUAUUCAUGAAAUUACCUAUUACAAUUUAUACUUUUUCAUUACAAUAUUACUGCUUACAUAUAAGAUAAUCGACCGUAGGUCGCUUAAGCCUCAUAUGAGAUUUAAAAUCAUCUUCACUGAAAAGGUCAAUUGUAUCAGCAAAGUUGACACAUUUCGGAUGAUCCUCCGUAUCGAAAUCGGAAUCAUCUGAACUUGAAUCAUUCUCAUGAUUUGAUAUUAAGGUCAGCAUCGACAAAACAUCAUCAAUUUCUUGAUCUUGCUGUUGCCGGCGAAGGCUUUGCCGUGAUGCGUCCUCCAACUAUAAUGCAUAGACCUAAAAGUUCACCAAAUUAAAAAGUUUUAAGUUUAUUUGUAUUGAAAUUACUUCUCUUACUGAAUUUUCCAUUUUUUUUUUUAAUUUAUCAAAUUUUGAAUUUGUACGUUAUUUUUGUAUUUCAAGGACUACUUCGUUAUACUUUUAAAUUUAGUUUUUUUUUAUUAACAAUAAAUUCAAAUUGAAAAAAAGUACACUAGAUGGUGAACUGAUUUUUGACCUAUCAAGUUCGUCGCUUGUGGAUAGAUUUCUUUUUGUUUUGAAAAAAAAAAAAAAAUAAAUAAAUGGCAGAGCAAAUUAAAAGGUAAGUCGAUAUUUAUUUCACUUUUACCCAAAAAUCCAAAAAAAAAAAUUUGAUAAACGAUCGCAAAAAGUGGUCCAAAACAGAAGUUCUUGGGCUGCUUAGGAUUUAUGGUGCCAGAAAGGAGGAAAUUAACAAUUUUAGAAAACAAAACGAAGCAUAUAAGCAUGUUCUGGAGGACAUGAUCUACCAAAAUGACUCUUCUACAACAGUAGAGGGAAUCCCGAAACAAAAUGAAGUCUUUUGAAUGCUUACAAGACGGCUAAAGACAAUCAGAGGAGGACGGGUGCUGCUCCAGUCGUGAUCCCAUACAUGACGGAGUUGGAAGAAUUAUUUGGCGAUAAACCCAAUGUGUCCAACAACCAUACUUUGCAAUUAGGAGUGGCAGAAAUAAACGAAACGGUAGAAGCAGAUUAUUUGGACAUAGAGGUUUUGGACGAAGAGCUGCCAGCUUCAAAUUCAAACCCAACAGUCACCGAUAGACCCCAAGUUUUAGCAGCCGCACACUGGGGAUUUUGCGGAAAAAAGUCCAAAAUUUUAGGUACCUCGGAGAACAUUUUCUAUAGUAUUUCUAAAUUCUAGAAUAAAAUCUGAAUCAAAAUCAGAAAGAAUUACUAAAAUCGGACUUGUAGUUUACUUUUUAGAGCUUUAUGAAGGGACAAGUUGUUGAAAGUAUAAAAAACGAGGUGAAAAUACCCUGAAAUUAAAGCUGUGUAUUUUUUUUUUGCUUGAGCCAAAUCAUAGACUUUUAUU
This is an RNA transcript of Episyrphus balteatus (marmalade hoverfly), 3525 nucleotides long. RefSeq lists it as uncharacterized. The transcript is spliced from 5 exons. Lineage: Eukaryota; Metazoa; Arthropoda; Insecta; Diptera; Syrphidae. The record is from RefSeq and is a predicted model, not a curated record.